CCGAGUUUACCAACUCCCAAACCCCUGUGAACAUACCUGAAACGUUGCCUCGGCGGGACCGCCCCGGCGCCCUCUGCGGCCCGGAACCAGGCGCCCGCCGGAGGACCCAAACUCUUGUAUUUCUUACUUUGCAUGUCUGAGUGGAAUCAUAAACAAAUGAAUCA
Molecule: unclassified non-coding RNA, 164 nt
Filed under: uncultured Tolypocladium
Lineage: Eukaryota; Fungi; Ascomycota; Sordariomycetes; Hypocreales; Clavicipitaceae
Description: sequence contains ITS1
Source: RNAcentral